UCAGAUGAACGCGGCGGCAGGCCUAACACAUGCAAGUCGAACGGUAGCACAGAGAGCUUGCUCUCGGGUGACGAGUGGCGGACGGGUGAGUAAUGUCUGGGAAACUGCCUGAUGGAGGGGGAUAACUACUGGAAACGGUAGCUAAUACCGCAUAACGUCGCAAGACCAAAGAGGGGGACCUUCGGGCCUCUUGCCAUCAGAUGUGCCCAGAUGGGAUUAGCUAGUAGGUGGGGUAACGGCUCACCUAGGCGACGAUCCCUAGCUGGUCUGAGAGGAUGACCAGCCACACUGGAACUGAGACACGGUCCAGACUCCUACGGGAGGCAGCAGUGGGGAAUAUUGCACAAUGGGCGCAAGCCUGAUGCAGCCAUGCCGCGUGUAUGAAGAAGGCCUUCGGGUUGUAAAGUACUUUCAGCGGGGAGGAAGGUGUUGUGGUUAAUAACCACAGCAAUUGACGUUACCCGCAGAAGAAGCACCGGCUAACUCCGUGCCAGCAGCCGCGGUAAUACGGAGGGUGCAAGCGUUAAUCGGAAUUACUGGGCGUAAAGCGCACGCAGGCGGUCUGUCAAGUCGGAUGUGAAAUCCCCGGGCUCAACCUGGGAACUGCAUUCGAAACUGGCAGGCUAGAGUCUUGUAGAGGGGGGUAGAAUUCCAGGUGUAGCGGUGAAAUGCGUAGAGAUCUGGAGGAAUACCGGUGGCGAAGGCGGCCCCCUGGACAAAGACUGACGCUCAGGUGCGAAAGCGUGGGGAGCAAAAAGAUA
Molecule: ribosomal RNA, 761 nt
Filed under: Enterobacter sp. DHL-11
Lineage: Bacteria; Pseudomonadati; Pseudomonadota; Gammaproteobacteria; Enterobacterales; Enterobacteriaceae
Description: bacterial SSU rRNA
Rfam family: Bacterial small subunit ribosomal RNA
Source: RNAcentral